RNAcentral lists this ribosomal RNA (489 nucleotides) under uncultured bacterium. Its description in RNAcentral is "partial 16S ribosomal RNA". It matches the Rfam family "Bacterial small subunit ribosomal RNA", at positions 30 to 506 of the family's 1533-position model. The record is from RNAcentral.
AUUGAACGCUGGCGGCAGGCCUAACACAUGCAAGUCGAAUGGUAACAGGAAACAGCUUGCUGUUUCGCUGACGAGUGGCGGACGGGUGAGUAAUGUCUGGGAAACUGCCUGAUGGAGGGGGAUAACUACUGGAAACGGUAGCUAAUACCGCAUAACGUCGCAAGACCAAAGAGGGGGACCUUCGGGCCUCUUGCCCUCAGAUGUGCCCAGAUGGGAUUAGCUAGUAGGUGGGGUAACGGCUCACCUAGGCGACGAUCCCUAGCUGGUCUGAGAGGAUGACCAGCCACACUGGAACUGAGACACGGUCCAGACUCCUACGGGAGGCAGCAGUGGGGAAUAUUGCACAAUGGGCGCAAGCCUGAUGCAGCCAUGCCGCGUGUAUGAAGAAGGCCUUCGGGUUGUAAAGUACUUUAAGCGGGGAGGAAGGGAGUAAAGUUAAUACCUUUGCUCAUUGACGUUACCCGCAGAAGAAGCACCGGCUAACUCCGU